AAUAUAUGACGCAGUUAACUUUUUUUCAACGUUUGACCAUUCGUCUUAUUUAAAAAAUUUAUAUAAUUAUCAUUUAUUUUAUUGUGACUUGAUUCGUCAUCAAAUGUUCUUUAAGCAUGACAUAAAUAUUUUCAUAUUCACACAAAAAUUUUAAAUAAAACGAAUGAUCAAACGUUGGUCGAAAAGUCAACGGCGUCAUACAUU
Oryza glaberrima (African rice) is the source of this 204-nucleotide non-coding RNA. NCBI's taxonomy places the organism in Eukaryota, Viridiplantae, Streptophyta, Magnoliopsida, Poales, Poaceae. The record is from Rfam.